UGCACCCAUAUAUGCUACAGUCUAUGGCACCCCGAAAUUAACGACAGAAGAAGAGAUGCUGCGAAAGACAGCAGGAGAAACUACCUCGAGAAGAUGAGAUGAGAAUCUGAGCUGAGACUAGGCCAAAGAAAAGGACUGACACUGUGGACUUUUUCUGUAAGACCAAACAGCACUUCGAAUAGAGUCCCAGGGGGUGUAGAGAGAUUCCUGCAGGCGCAACCCGGUCUCACUCCCAAGUGGUCAAAUCCUGCAGCUCGGUCAGUGGCCCUCCGCUUCAAAA
This is a long non-coding RNA of Dicentrarchus labrax (European seabass), 280 nucleotides long. RefSeq lists it as uncharacterized. The record is from RefSeq and is a predicted model, not a curated record. The transcript has 3 exons. NCBI's taxonomy places the organism in Eukaryota, Metazoa, Chordata, Actinopteri, Moronidae.